CAGACAUCCCGCAUUUGUUAUUCGCAUAAAUCCGUUUAUGCACUCGUCCUCCUCGGUUCAAGUCUUCGACCUGAUGGAGAAAGAAUGGAGCUGUUAGAAAGCACCGUCACCCAGCAUCUCGUCUGUGACCGAACAGCGCUCUGUUUUGCAGGAGAAGAGCUGGCCUCAAAAUUAAAGGGUCAAUGCUGAAAUCUGUAACAAAAGAGGAUGAAGCGGUACCAUCAAGCACUGGAGGGGGCACUACAAUAUAAUUCUGCUUAGGGCACCUAUUUGGCCAGCAGCGGCCCUGUUGUGACGCCACAGAGCACAGUCGAAUAGUUUUGGAUGUUAGAAAGCACGGUAAAGCCGUGAAAUUCCGUGAAACAUUUUGUGGGUUUGCAGUAACAUUAGUGGUCUAAGACGAGAGUUGUUAGUGGUUUUCAGAGUGAUGAGACAGCGAAUUUCUCAAGUUAUUCCGGUGAAUGAUGGCGAGGUGUACAAUCAAUCACCAUCAUAGUAUACCCCCAACACCCAGCACCAUCACAGUGGAGAAACAUCCUCAUCCGCGAGAUGAACCCCCUGUCGGUGUGAAGACGCCCAGAGGAGUGUGUAGGAGGAAAAAGAGCUUCUGGAGCCUGCCCACUUUCCUCAGAGCAGCCAGAAAACACUUCAAGAUGACCUGCUCUGGUCAGACUGAGGUGCAGCUCACUGAGUCACCAUCACCAGCCAGCACCCCGAUGACAAACCAUUAACUGUCCAUCUUCUAGGCUGAUCAUCCAAGCCCCCUACCUGUGGAGAUCACCCUUGAUGCAGGUGAUAAGGGAUUAUAAAGCUGCUGGACUGGCAGGACUCGGGACAACUGUCAUGGUCCUCGAGUGUCCGUCGGCCUGCAAGAACUUAGUUCAUUUCUUGGAAGGCCACGGAGGCAGGCUCGAUAAAGGUAUAGUGGCGCAUCAUGCAGCAGGCGGCCCACAUGCCGCAUGUUCCAUAGUGACAUAAAGUUGGAAAACUUAAUUGUAAGCAAGGACACCCUUCAGGUCAGAUUGAUUGACUUUGGGAGCGGAGAGCUCCUGAGAAAGUCUGCCUACACAACAUUGUAUGGUAUCUAUUAUUCCUCAAAGCUGACAGAGAAAAGAGUUUGGUAAUGCAAAUUUGCAUACGAGAUGAAAUCUCUUUCCUCCAAGCACCGUGGACUACUACCCUCCUGAGUAUAGAGUCAAGGGCAAGUACCAUGUGAAGUCUGCAGUGACGUGGUCUCUUGGGGUCAUCUUGUUGACGAUGCUGUGUAGCCGUUUUCCAACUGGUGAGGACCUACACAAGACCGAACUAAACCUUUGGUCAGAGCCUGGAUUGUCAAAAGACUGCAGCCCCUUGAUCUGUAGCCUCCUGCAGCAUAAACCUAAGCAGCGGCUCGGUCUGGUUUCAGGUCUCCAUAAAAGUCGUGGAGAAAAGGAGCUCCAGCCCCAGACAUUUCCCCAGUGUCCUGUCAGCAUUGCGUCUUGCGGGCUAAAACUUUCUAUCCCUCCAUGAAACCUCUGCGUCUUGCGAGGCCAGCAGCAG
Long non-coding RNA from Cyprinus carpio (common carp), 1539 nucleotides. RefSeq lists it as uncharacterized. The record is from RefSeq and is a predicted model, not a curated record. NCBI's taxonomy places the organism in Eukaryota, Metazoa, Chordata, Actinopteri, Cypriniformes, Cyprinidae. The transcript is spliced from 6 exons.